Molecule: ribosomal RNA, 397 nt
Filed under: uncultured bacterium
Lineage: Bacteria
Description: partial 16S ribosomal RNA
Rfam family: Bacterial small subunit ribosomal RNA
Source: RNAcentral
AUACGUAGGGGGCGAGCGUUGUCCGGAAUGAUUGGGCGUAAAGGGCGCGUAGGCGGCUUUGCAAGUCAGUAGUGGAUGUCCAUUUUUCAAGGAUGGAAGUGCUACAGAAACUGCGGAGCUUGAGUGCAGGAGAGGUUAUCGGAAUUCCCGGUGUAGCGGUGAAAUGCGUAGAGAUCGGGAGGAACACCAGUGGCGAAGGCGGGUAACUGGACUGCAACUGACGCUGAUGCGCGAAAGUGUGGGGAGCAAACAGGAUUAGAUACCCUGGUAGUCCACACUGUAAACGAUGAAUGCUAGGUGUAGGAGGUAUCGACCCCUUCUGUGCCGCAGUAAACACAGUAAGCAUUCCGCCUGGGGAGUACGGUCGCAAGAUUAAAACUCAAAUGAAUUGGCGGGG